GGGCCAUUAGCUCAGCUGGUAGAGCAACAGACUCUUAAUCUGUGGGUCGACGGUUCGAAGCCGCCAUGGCUCA
RNAcentral lists this transfer RNA (73 nucleotides) under Spirochaetaceae bacterium. RNAcentral's name for it is "tRNA-Lys". It matches the Rfam family "tRNA". Rfam says of the family: Transfer RNA (tRNA) molecules are approximately 80 nucleotides in length. Their secondary structure includes four short double-helical elements and three loops (D, anti-codon, and T loops). Lineage: Bacteria; Pseudomonadati; Spirochaetota; Spirochaetia; Spirochaetales; Spirochaetaceae. RNAcentral also lists the same sequence under 1 other name. The record is from RNAcentral.